GGGGGUUUAGCUCAGUUGGGAGAGCACCUGCCUUGCAAGCAGGGGGUCGAGAGUUCGAAUCUCUUAAUCUCCA
Molecule: transfer RNA, 73 nt
Filed under: Variimorphobacter saccharofermentans
Lineage: Bacteria; Bacillati; Bacillota; Clostridia; Lachnospirales; Lachnospiraceae
Rfam family: tRNA
About the family: Transfer RNA (tRNA) molecules are approximately 80 nucleotides in length. Their secondary structure includes four short double-helical elements and three loops (D, anti-codon, and T loops).
Source: Rfam by way of RNAcentral